CCGACAGACAUAAUAUCAAAGAAGAAGACCCCGUACUGUAGGUGGCCGCAAUAUGGAAUGUUUUUUUUCUUUUUUCUUAUUCAAUACCCCGUCCAGAUGGUGACGGUAAUGCACCAUUAACAUUGGAUGCCAACCGCCGUUAAACCCCAUCGAAGAAGAAGAAGUGGCGGCGGCAAUACACCAGUCGGUGUAGUCUGCCAUAAAACUUUGAAGGAGAAGAAGAAGAAGAGCACUCCUCAGGGUGUAUAGUUAUUUUCUUUUAAUGUUUUAUCAAGACAAGCAAGUUGAAAAUGACCUUUGCCUUUCCUCUACGAAUGAAUGUUUUUAUAGAUGAAGACCUAGACAAAAAUUUUGAAUAGCUACCUGAAUGGAAACUUAAUUGUUGAAUAAAUGAGACUGACGUCUUGAAAAGAUAGAACAUGUACCUGUUGCGCUUCUCUAUUGCCAUCAUUCUUGGGUUUGUGUGGUAUUUAUUUGACCGCGGACAAGUAGCGGCUCAAAUAGCUUUAUGUUUACUAUUUUGGCAAUCAACCCCAAAUAUUUUAAUAAAGACCAGACGGGAAAGCGGAACUCAGACAGACGAUGUGGCUGAAGAACAUUUAUUCCAGGAAACCACCAACCAUUUAGGUUGCGAUGUGACUGAUACAACAAGCACUAAAGCUGAAACAUCACAGGAGACACAGUUUCCCCAUGUGAAGAGAUCUCUUCAGCAAGUGUUUGACUGUGCCUACGCCCAGCUAGUCCUCCCCUGGUACAGCGUCCCCGAACCCUGUGACAGUCAGCUCCUGCACCAGGUGCUGUGGAAGGAGUUUGACCAAGUCAUCGAUCAAGUCAUCAGCAGAGGCAAAGACUUUGAUGUCUGUGCUGCAAGUGUGGGCUGCAUUCGCAUCCUGACCCAGCACCUCCAUAAUGCCAAACAGUCUCAUAGAAAACCAUUGUUCCGCUCUAGAGGAGAGGAGGUUGAAGUUCUCAGAGUGUUCUCUGAAGCACUGGUGCGAAACCUUUUACCCCAGUCCCUAUGGGGACUGGCAGUCAGCCACUGUGCCUUAAAUGAGAUAGUUGCCUUAAAAGUACUGGACCUGCUGGUGCGUUGGCUCUCAGACCCUGACAACCUCAACCAGCUGGUGGUGAGUCAGCUGGAUGGAGCGACCCGUAAAAGCUCUGUGGCGGAGCUGUGUGAGUCCCACUCUGACAGGGCCUCUCCAGCCUCCCUGGAGAGCCAGGCCAGUGGAGCGACUCAGGAAGAAACAGAGGAUGCGCAAACCAGUGACAGCAAGUCCAAAAAGAAAGCUAACAAAUUGAAGGAAGGCUGGUCUAAAUUCCUUGACAAGAUGAGAUUGAAGAAUGCUAAAAGGGAGAAGAUGAAGAAAAGGGAGCAGGCGCUGGUUGUCACGGCCAUGUCUAUCCAGGGUCGUCCAUCAAACAAAACUGAAGGGAGUAGCCGGGAGGGCUCCAUCCGGAACCAGCAGGACUCUGACAGUGAGGACAGUGAUCUGGAGAGCUACUGGAACAGUGUACACGAGGAUAUGAUGGAAUUCAAUCUGUCGUAUGAGCUGUGGCGGGUUGGCCACUGGGCUGUCAGCGUCCCUUGUGUGGAGAGGGAAAACGAGGAACUGUGUUUUACAGUUCACCUGGAGGAGAGGGACAACCCUGAAAACCUUCACUGGAACGUGAGGAAGACUCAAACAGACAUCAUCCACUUCCGCAACCUAUGGCAGGACUCUGCUACUUUACCCUCCCUAUCCAUGUUAGAAGAGAACACUGAGGUGAACAUCAGUGAGGAUUUUAAAGAAGCCAAAAAGUCCAUCAAGCACUUCUUACAGGAGCUGGUGUCUGAUGAUCUAGUGGGCCACACUCAGCCAGUGUUUCAGUUUCUGUGUCCUCUGGACAAGCUUCUGGUUGAAGAGGAUCAUGUGGGGGAAGUGUGGGGCCUCUUCAGUGGCCUGGCCUACUUCCUGACUCCGGGCCAAGAGGAAGAUGAGGACAAGCACAACAGCCUUGGAAGAGGGACCAAACCAGAUGAUUCCAACACAAUGGAGGCUGCAGACCCAACUGCAACUGAGAACCUGGAUGGCGAUACAAGGGAUGACCUGGCCCGGGGCCCAUGUAUCAUCAUCUCCCAAUGUGAUGAGGAUUCUCCUCCAGAACCCAGUUCCAUUGAGUGCUGCAGAGAUGACGAAACCGAACCAAUAGAGAAAUCUGACAUUUUGGUUAAUGCAGACAAAACCAAGGAAUCUGAGAACCCCAUAACUUCUCACCUAAAGAUGGCAAUUAAAAGGCUAUCUAGAUCAGAGGAGUGUCUGGCCCAAACAAAAUCAGACACCCCUGAAGACCAGACUGACUCUUUCUGUAGACUGCGACGUUCCAGUGAAAAUGGAAGCUCGCAAUUUGACCUCACUGGCAGUCCAACACAUCCUUUUGGUGGAAAGUCGAAUAAAAAGGAGAAACUCACUUUCAAAAUGUCAGGAGGGAUGCCCAAGAGUAAAGGAAAUGAAAUGGGGAGUCAGCCAAAAUUAGAAGACUCACCGUGUUUGAAAAAGGAACAAUCCAGCUGGGAGCAAAUGGAAGCAACCAAAGCCCUUUUUGAUUUGUUGAAAGCAAUAUCUGGCAAUUCCAUCCUUCUGAACAUAUUUGAUGCGAUUCUGAAACCCGUCAUGCCGAUAUUGAAAAAGAAAGUGAACAGCUUCUUGAAUAAUAUGAACCCAACGGAAGCACAGAUUGCCUCCUAUAUCGACAACCUGCGUGAGAAACAGUGGCCCGGGGGCUUGCCGGAGGUGACAUGCCCUAUACCCCAUCGCAGCAGUGAGGAGAAGCAUGAAACCAAAGACAGAGCUCACCACCUCAUCAAUGCCAGAUAUUCAAACUAUUUAAUCUUGAAGAAGACCAAUAUGGAGUCAGCAUUUAAGCUCUUCCAGGACUGUGAAGAAAACAAGAAGCUGGUCUAUAUGCUGCUUUCAUUCCUGUUGAGAGAGCUUCUGCCAGGUGAGGAUGCCCUUAAUGUGAGUGCCAUAACCCAGCAGAAAGUGAACGUCAACUAA
This 3038-nucleotide long non-coding RNA is filed under the name Oncorhynchus kisutch (coho salmon). RNAcentral describes it as "lncRNA (ENSOKIG00005026337.1)". The record is from RNAcentral. Lineage: Eukaryota; Metazoa; Chordata; Actinopteri; Salmoniformes; Salmonidae.